ACUCAAAGGAAUUGACGGGGGCCCGCACAAGCAGUGGAGCAUGUGGUUUAAUUCGACGCAACGCGCAGAACCUUACCCGGGCUAGAAAAGUACGGUAGUCGGUGGAAACACUGAUUUGCUCGCAAGAGAGCCGUAAUCCAGGUGCUGCAUGGCUGUCGUCAGCUCGUGUCGUGAGAUGUUGGGUUAAGUCCCGCAACGAGCGCAACCCUUGUCCUCAGUUGCCAUCAUUUAGUUGGGCACUCUGAGGAGACUGCCGGCGUCAAGCCGGAGGAAGGUGGGGAUGACGUCAAGUCCUCAUGGCCCUUAUGUCCGGGGCUACACACGUGCUACAAUGGUCGAUACAGAACGUCGCGUACCCGCGAGGGGAAGCCAAUCGGCAAAAGUCGACCUCAGUACGGAUUGCAGGCUGCAACUCGCCUGCAUGAAGCCGGAAUUGCUAGUAAUCGCUGAUCAGCAGGCAGCGGUGAAUACGUUCCCGGGCCUUGUACACACCGCCCGU
RNAcentral lists this ribosomal RNA (499 nucleotides) under uncultured bacterium. RNAcentral's name for it is "partial 16S ribosomal RNA". It matches the Rfam family "Bacterial small subunit ribosomal RNA", at positions 899 to 1397 of the family's 1533-position model. The record is from RNAcentral.